RNAcentral lists this ribosomal RNA (577 nucleotides) under Talaromyces trachyspermus. RNAcentral's name for it is "eukaryotic LSU rRNA". The stretch from base 207 to 360 matches the Rfam family "5.8S ribosomal RNA". Lineage: Eukaryota; Fungi; Ascomycota; Eurotiomycetes; Eurotiales; Trichocomaceae. The record is from RNAcentral.
UGAACCUGCGGAAGGAUCAUUACCGAGUGCGGGCCCGCUCUGGGCCCAACCUCCCACCCGUGUCUCUUGCGUACUUUGUUGCUUUGGCGGGCCCACUGGGUCACUCCGGUCGCCGGGGGGCGCUAUGCUCCCGGGCCCGUGCCCGCCAGAGCACCCCUGUGAACCCUGAUGAAGAGAGGCUGUCUGAGUCCCACGAUAAUCGUUAAAACUUUCAACAAUGGAUCUCUUGGUUCCGGCAUCGAUGAAGAACGCAGCGAAAUGCGAUAAGUAAUGUGAAUUGCAGAAUUCCGUGAAUCAUCGAAUCUUUGAACGCACAUUGCGCCCCCUGGCAUUCCGGGGGGCAUGCCUGUCCGAGCGUCAUUUCUGCCCUCAAGCGCGGCUUGUGUGUUGGGCGUGGUCCCCCUGUCUUUGGCGGGGACCUGCCCGAAAGGCAGCGGCGACGUCCCGCCUAGUCCUCGAGCGUAUGGGGCUCUGUCACGCGCUCGGGAGGGACUGGUGGGCGUUGGUCACCCCUUAUUCUUUCUACGGUUGACCUCGGAUCAGGUAGGAGUUACCCGCUGAACUUAAGCAUAUCAAU